GGAUGCGAUCAUACUAGCACUAACGCACCGGA
Molecule: ribosomal RNA, 32 nt
Filed under: Solanum guamense
Lineage: Eukaryota; Viridiplantae; Streptophyta; Magnoliopsida; Solanales; Solanaceae
Source: RNAcentral